GGUUGUGUAGUGUAGCGGUUAUCACUCCAGAUUCUGAUGUGGAUCUUGGAUUUCUGGCAACCCCGGUUCGAUUCCGGGCACGACCU
Non-coding RNA from Mycena albidolilacea, 86 nucleotides. The record is from the annotation of a GenBank genome assembly. NCBI's taxonomy places the organism in Eukaryota, Fungi, Basidiomycota, Agaricomycetes, Agaricales, Mycenaceae.